UUGUGACAAUGCAAAGUAUUUGAUGUUUUGCUAUAUCUUUUUUUUUCUUAGAGAUAAAAGCAGAUAGACCAAGUUUGCUCACACAAAUCCACAACAUUAUUUACUGGAAUGAAAAUAUAAAAAUAUUAUUUGCUUCAGAGAAUAGCCGUAGGGAGACACUUGAGCGUUAUACUAUAUACCCAAGAAAAGCUUAUGUAAGGACAAGAAGCUCUCCAUUAGUGCAUUUGACAAAAUCUUCAGAAGAAAUAUGAGUUUCUUGAAGCCUGUAAUUUACACAACUCCUAACAAAUUACUCUCAUUUCUGCCUUACGAUGAUUUUCUGUUUGAAGUCACUCCAAACCUCUUGUGUUAUAAGACUCCGCAUUUUUCAUACAGAUUGUUUUUGGGCUACUGAACACAUGAAAGAGGUUAAAAAGCAUUUUCCAUGCAACUCACUGACACAGCACCUCCAAGCCACAGAUUCUGGGGGACCUCAGGAUGCUUAGAUCUAGAGAUAAGCUGUGUCAUGAAAUAUGGGUGGUGAGAGCAGCCUAUGGAGGAGAAGAGAGACUGAAGUUGGAAGCCAUGAGGUGUGUGGCUGCCUCUGGUUAUUGCCCUCUUUCUGCUCUCAUCAGUGCCUACAUUCAGAAACCUGAACAGGAAAGAUAUUCUGAUUUACAGAGUAAGUUAAUGUUUGUUUCUUAUGCUGUUCUGCUGUCCACGGCUGAGAUUUGACAUGUAUAUAAAGUUAGCAUAAACCCAAAUGUUGAUAGCAUGUAUCAAUUGUGUUAUCAGGUGCCACUUCUAAAGUGUUCUGAAAGCACACCUCCUCACAUAGUCAUGCUGUUCCUGUGUUUCAGUGGCAUUUGCAGAGAUAGCCCAUGUUGU
RNAcentral lists this long non-coding RNA (867 nucleotides) under Phasianus colchicus (ring-necked pheasant). RNAcentral's name for it is "lncRNA (ENSPCLG00000003783.1)". The record is from RNAcentral. Lineage: Eukaryota; Metazoa; Chordata; Aves; Galliformes; Phasianidae.